GAUGAAGAACGCAGCGAAAUGCGAUAAGUAGUGUGAAUUGCAGAAUUCAGUGAAUCAUCGAAUCUUUGAACGCACAUUGCGCCCCUUGGUAUCCCGAGGGGCAUGCCUGUUCGAGCGUCAUUUCACCACUCAAGCCUGGCUUGGUGUUGGGCGACGUCCCCUUUGGGGACGCGCCUCGAAACGCUCGGCGGCGUGGCACCGGCUUUAAGCGUAGCAGAAUCUUUCGCUUUGGAAGUCGGGGCCCCGUCUGCCGGAAGACCUACUCGCAAGGUUGACCUCGGAUCAGGCAGGGAUACCCGCUGAACUUAAGCAUAUCAAUAAGCGG
Molecule: unclassified non-coding RNA, 325 nt
Filed under: soil metagenome
Description: partial contains 5.8S ribosomal RNA, internal transcribed spacer 2, and large subunit ribosomal RNA
Rfam family: 5.8S ribosomal RNA (bases 1-120)
Source: RNAcentral